AAUCAACGCUGGCGGCGCGCUUAACACAUGCAAGUCGAACGAGAAAGCCCGCAAGGGUGAGUAAAGUGGCGUACGGGUGAGUAACACGUGGGUGAUCUGCCUUUUGGUGGGGAAUAACCCUGGGAAACCGGGGCUAACACCGCAUAAGCUCGAAAGAGGAAAAGAGCAAUCUGCCGAAAGAGGAGCCCGCGGCUGAUUAGCUAGUUGGUGAGGUAAGAGGUCACCAAGGCGAAGAUCGGUAGCCGGCCUGAGAGGGCACACGGCCACACUGGCACUGAAACACGGGCCAGACUCCUACGGGAGGCAGCAGUGGGGAAUCUUGCACAAUGGGGGAAACCCUGAUGCAGCGACGCCGCGUGAGCGAUGAAGCCCUUCGGGGUGUAAAGCUCUUUCGGCAGGAACGAUGAUGACGGUACCUGAAGAAGAAGCUGCGGCUAACUACGUGCCAGCAGCCGCGGUAAUACGUAGGCAGCGAGCGUUGUUCGGAGUUACUGGGCGU
RNAcentral lists this ribosomal RNA (499 nucleotides) under uncultured bacterium. RNAcentral's name for it is "bacterial SSU rRNA". It matches the Rfam family "Bacterial small subunit ribosomal RNA", at positions 28 to 561 of the family's 1533-position model. The record is from RNAcentral.